RNAcentral lists this ribosomal RNA (515 nucleotides) under Conus fergusoni. Its description in RNAcentral is "partial 16S ribosomal RNA". It matches the Rfam family "Bacterial large subunit ribosomal RNA", at positions 1817 to 2596 of the family's 2925-position model. Lineage: Eukaryota; Metazoa; Mollusca; Gastropoda; Neogastropoda; Conidae. The record is from RNAcentral.
GGCUUCGUGUCAGCUCUAAAAUACGAAGUCGGACCUGCCCAGUGAGUUUUUAAACGGCCGCGGUACUCUGACCGUGCAAAGGUAGCAUAAUCAUUUGCCUUAUAAUUGAAGGCUGGAAUGAAUGGUUUGACAAGAAUACAUCUGUCUCUUUUUGAUUUCCUAGAAUUUUAUUUUUGGAUGAAAAAGUCCAGAUAUUAUUAAAAGACAAGAAGACCCUAUCGAGCUUUAGAAAAAUUAGUGGACUAAUAUAACAAAUCAAUAGAAAUAAAAGAUAAGGCCACUAAAUGCACUUUGGUUGGGGCAACCGAGGAGCAAAUAAAGCCUCCUCUAAAUUUUAAAUCGUACUUGUAUUGAUCCAAAAAUUUUGAUCAAAGGAAUUAGUUACCGUAGGGAUAACAGCAUUAUCUUUUUCAAGAGCCCAUAUCGAAAAAAAGGUUUGUGACCUCGAUGUUGGACCAGAAUAUCCUAAAGAUGCAGAAGUCUUUAAGGGUUGGUCUGUUCGACCAGUAAAAUUA